GACGAACGCUGGCGGCGUGCCUAAUACAUGCAAGUCGAGCGAAUGGAUGGGAGCUUGCUCCCUGACAUUAGCGGCGGACGGGUGAGUAACACGUGGGCAACCUGCCCUGCAGAUGGGGAUAACUCCGGGAAACCGGGGCUAAUACCGAAUAAUCAGUUCCUCCGCAUGGAGGAACUCUGAAAGACGGUUUCGGCUGUCACUGCAGGAUGGGCCCGCGGCGCAUUAGCUAGUUGGUGGGGUAACGGCCUACCAAGGCGACGAUGCGUAGCCGACCUGAGAGGGUGAUCGGUCACACUGGGACUGAGACACGGCCCAGACUCCUACGGGAGGCAGCAGUAGGGAAUCUUCCACAAUGGACGAAAGUCUGAUGGAGCAACGCCGCGUGAGCGAAGAAGGUUUUCGGAUCGUAAAGCUCUGUUGUGAGGGAAGAACAAGUACGGGAGUAACUGUCCGUACCUUGACGGUACCUCAUUAGAAAGCCACGGCUAACUACGUGCCAGCCGCCGCCGUAA
Molecule: ribosomal RNA, 512 nt
Filed under: uncultured bacterium
Lineage: Bacteria
Description: partial 16S ribosomal RNA
Rfam family: Bacterial small subunit ribosomal RNA
Source: RNAcentral